RNAcentral lists this long non-coding RNA (207 nucleotides) under Bos taurus (domestic cattle). RNAcentral describes it as "long non-coding RNA NONBTAT011958". Lineage: Eukaryota; Metazoa; Chordata; Mammalia; Artiodactyla; Bovidae. The record is from RNAcentral.
GAAAAUAGAUUGUUGUUGAUUCAUUUUUUUGUCUCUUAAGGUUUUGGGGUUUGGUUUUUUAAGUUUGUGUGUAAGUCUGUGGUUUUUUAGUUUUUGUUUUGUUUUUUGAGAGCGGUACAAUAAAAACAUUUUAAAUUGCUAGUGACAUGAUUGUGUUGCUCAGCUGUCAUACUGGUAUUAUGGUAGCUUUUAUCUAGUACUUCUAUA